UGCCUAACACAUGCAAGUCGAACGGAGAUCAUACAGACGGCGGCUUCGGCCAAAGGAAGUAUGAUCUUAGUGGCGGACGGGCGAGUAACGCGUGAGUAACCUGCCUUUCAGAGGGGGACAACAGUUGGAAACGACUGCUAAUACCGCAUAACGUCACUUGAGGGCAUCCCCGGGUGACCAAAGAUUUAUCGCUGAAAGAUGGACUCGCGUCCGAUUAGCUAGAUGGUGGGGUAACGGCCUACCAUGGCGACGAUCGGUAGCCGAACUGAGAGGUUGAUCGGCCGCAUUGGGACUGAGACACGGCUCAGACUCCUACGGGAGGCAGCAGUGGGGGAUAUUGCACAAUGGAGGAAACUCUGAUGCAGCAACGCCGCGUGAGGGAAGACGGUCUUCGGAUUGUAAACCUAAGUUAUCAGGGACGAUUAUGACGGUACCUGAAGAGAAAGCUCCGGCUAACUACGUGCCAGCAGCCGCGGUAAUACGUAGGGAGCGAGCGUUGUCCGGAUUUACUGGGUGUAAAGGGUGCGUAGGCGGGCUGGCAAGUCAGGCGUGAAAUCCCGGGGCUUAACUCCGGGGCUGCGCUUGAAACUGUCGGUCUUGAGUGAGGUAGAGGCAAGCGGAAUUCCUAGUGUAGCGGUGAAAUGCGUAGAUAUUAGGAGGAACACCAGUGGCGAAGGCGGCUUGCUGGGCUUUUACUGACGCUGAGGCACGAAAGCGUGGGGAGCAAACAGGAUUAGAUACCCUGGUAGUCCACGCUGUAAACGAUGAUUGCUAGGUGUGGGGGGUCGACUCCCUCCGUGCCGGAGUAAACGCAAUAAGCAUUCCACCUGGGGAGUACGUUCGCAAGAAUGAAACUCAAAGGAGUUGACGGGGACCCGCACAAGCGGUGGAGCAUGUGGUUUAAUUCGAAGCAACGCGAAGAACCUUACCAAAUCUUGACAUCCCGCUGACGUACCCUUAAUCGGGUAUUCUCUUCGGAGCAGUGGAGACAGGUGGUGCAUGGUUGUCGUCAGCUCGUGUCGUGAGAUGUUGGGUUAAGUCCCGCAACGAGCGCAACCCCUGUCCUUAGUAGCCAGCACGUAAUGGUGGGCACUCUAGGGAGACUGCCGGGGAUAACCCGGAGGAAGGUGGGGAUGACGUCAAAUCAUCAUGCCCCUUAUGAUUUGGGCUACACACGUGCUACAAUGGCGUGGAACAAAGGGAAGCGAGUCUGUGAGGAGGAGCAAACCCCAAAAAACACGUCUCAGUUCGGAUUGUAGUCUGCAACUCGACUACAUAAAGCUGGAAUCGCUAGUAAUCGCGAAUCAGAAUGUCGCGGUGAAUACGUUCCCGGGUCUUGUACACACCGCCCGUCA
Molecule: ribosomal RNA, 1355 nt
Filed under: uncultured bacterium
Lineage: Bacteria
Description: 16S ribosomal RNA
Rfam family: Bacterial small subunit ribosomal RNA
Source: RNAcentral